GCGGCGGUGGCGAAAUUGGUAGACGCAACAGGUUUAGGUCCUGUCGCCUUCGGGUGUGGAGGUUCGAGUCCUCUCCGCCGCACCA
Molecule: transfer RNA, 85 nt
Filed under: Betaproteobacteria bacterium
Lineage: Bacteria; Pseudomonadati; Pseudomonadota; Betaproteobacteria
Also listed under: 3 other names
Description: tRNA-Leu
Rfam family: tRNA
About the family: Transfer RNA (tRNA) molecules are approximately 80 nucleotides in length. Their secondary structure includes four short double-helical elements and three loops (D, anti-codon, and T loops).
Source: RNAcentral